AAUAACAGUCUCCUUUUAUUUAGUUAGUUUCCUCGGCAGGUUUGGCAGCCCGCUUGUCUCUGCCCCCAGCCCCCACCCGCGGGUAACCUUGGAGGCGCCCUCGGAGUGAGUGUGUGCGCGGCCCCAGAUCUGGACACAGACUUGCUAAAUUAAGGUUCCAGUGAAAUGUUUUGUCAUUUGCUCUAGAAACAUUGUGCGAGCUUCAGGUGUUAGGAUGUGGGUUUGGAAUUUUCUGUGGUGUCUUUAAUCCUCAAAGACAUUAAAUAACAGCGUGGUUACACCCCCCGGCAAGCGAGCAAAGGUUAUCCUUGCCACCACAGCACCUGCAGAAGCACAGUGGAACUCACAUAUUUUGCUUCCUGAGUUCUAAAAUGGCUUCUGAA
RNAcentral lists this long non-coding RNA (383 nucleotides) under Homo sapiens (human). Its description in RNAcentral is "HSALNT0006692". The record is from RNAcentral. Lineage: Eukaryota; Metazoa; Chordata; Mammalia; Primates; Hominidae.